UGGCCGUUGCUGUUUCGUUUUCGUAUUACAGAACUAGUAAUCGAGCUGACAUGUACCGAGUGAGGCUGUUUCUGCUAUUUGGAAAGCAAGCGGAGGCUGCGGUUGUCACGGAUUUCGCGCUGAGCGAAAAGAGUUCAGUUGACACACUUGGGUUAUGGAUUUGCGUUU
Arachis ipaensis is the source of this 168-nucleotide non-coding RNA. NCBI's taxonomy places the organism in Eukaryota, Viridiplantae, Streptophyta, Magnoliopsida, Fabales, Fabaceae. The record is from RefSeq and is a predicted model, not a curated record.